Molecule: ribosomal RNA, 300 nt
Filed under: uncultured Vagococcus sp.
Lineage: Bacteria; Bacillati; Bacillota; Bacilli; Lactobacillales; Enterococcaceae
Description: bacterial SSU rRNA
Rfam family: Bacterial small subunit ribosomal RNA (bases 52-300)
Source: RNAcentral
GCGAACUUCGUUGGCGGCUGGAUGGUAAGGAGUAGGGGUCGAGCGGUGGUGGGAAUGUGUGGGCGUACAUGGGGCGGAGGGGGGGUUUUAAGUAUGAUGGGAAAGGCCACGGAUGAGCCGGGGAGGGUUAUUGGAAACUGUGGGACUUGAGUGAAGAAGAGGAAAGCGGAAUUCCACGUGUAGCGGUGAAAUGCGUAGAGAUGUGGAGGAACACCGGUGGCGAAGGCGGCGUUCUGGUCUGUAACUGACGCUGAGGCGCGAAAGCGUGGGGAGCAAACAGGAUUAGAUACCCUUGUAGUC